AGAGUUUGAUCCUGGCUCAGGACGAACGCUGGCGGCGUGCCUAACACAUGCAAGUCGAACGGAGAAUUUCAAUAAGCUUGCUUAGCGAAAUUUUUAGUGGCGGACGGGUGAGUAACGCGUGGGUAACCUACCCAUAAACCCGGGACAACCCUUGGAAACGAGGGCUAAUACCGGAUAAUCUUAAAGCUUGGCAUCAAGAUUUAAGGAAAGGUGGCCUCUGAAGAUGCUACCGAUUAUGGAUGGACCCGCGUCUGAUUAGCUAGUUGGUGGGGUAAAGGCCUACCAAGGCGACGAUCAGUAGCCGGCCUGAGAGGGUGAACGGCCACACUGGGACUGAGACACGGCCCAGACUCCUACGGGAGGCAGCAGUGGGGAAUCUUCCGCAAUGGACGAAAGUCUGACGGAGCAACGCCGCGUGUAUGAUGAAGGUCUUCGGA
RNAcentral lists this ribosomal RNA (437 nucleotides) under uncultured bacterium. Its description in RNAcentral is "bacterial SSU rRNA". It matches the Rfam family "Bacterial small subunit ribosomal RNA", at positions 8 to 422 of the family's 1533-position model. The record is from RNAcentral.